UUACGGGAGGCAGCAGUAGGGAAUCUUCCACAAUGGACGAAAGUCUGAUGGAGCAACGCCGCGUGAGUGAUGAAGGUUUUCGGAUCGUAAAACUCUGUUGUAAGGGAAGAACAAGUACGAGAGGUAAUGCUCGUACCUUGACGGUACCUUGCGAGAAAGCCACGGCUAACUACGUGCCAGCAGCCGCGGUAAUA
Molecule: ribosomal RNA, 194 nt
Filed under: uncultured Bacillota bacterium
Lineage: Bacteria; Bacillati; Bacillota
Description: uncultured Firmicutes bacterium partial 16S ribosomal RNA
Rfam family: Bacterial small subunit ribosomal RNA
Source: RNAcentral